This 28-nucleotide non-coding RNA is filed under the name Mus musculus (house mouse). Lineage: Eukaryota; Metazoa; Chordata; Mammalia; Rodentia; Muridae. The record is from RNAcentral.
UUCGUGAUGUAGGAGGAGCCACUGCAGC